Molecule: small RNA, 90 nt
Filed under: Salmonella enterica subsp. enterica serovar Oranienburg
Lineage: Bacteria; Pseudomonadati; Pseudomonadota; Gammaproteobacteria; Enterobacterales; Enterobacteriaceae
Also listed under: 1 other name
Description: partial RtT sRNA
Rfam family: RtT RNA
About the family: This family represents a bacterial cis-regulatory element known as RtT RNA. The exact function of RtT is unknown although it is thought that it may be involved in changing the cellular response in relation to amino acid starvation.
Source: RNAcentral
UCGAUUCGAGCGAAAGCGAGAAAGCGUUGCCAACGGCAACGACCCGAAGGGCGAAGCGCGCAGCGCUGAGUAAUCCUUCCCCCGUCAUCC